This 30-nucleotide non-coding RNA is filed under the name Mus musculus (house mouse). Lineage: Eukaryota; Metazoa; Chordata; Mammalia; Rodentia; Muridae. The record is from RNAcentral.
UUGUCAGUAUAUCCAUUGACGUGCCCUGGC